RNAcentral lists this ribosomal RNA (905 nucleotides) under Semisulcospira libertina. Its description in RNAcentral is "partial 16S ribosomal RNA". It matches the Rfam family "Archaeal large subunit ribosomal RNA", at positions 912 to 2639 of the family's 2987-position model. Lineage: Eukaryota; Metazoa; Mollusca; Gastropoda; Semisulcospiridae. The record is from RNAcentral.
UCGCACUAACGAUAGCUAGUUUCCUCGGAAAGAUAUAAAAGUGUCGGGAAAAAUAUAAUUUAUAAUAUAAAUUAUUAUAUAUAUAUAUAUGUAUUUUACUAAUUUUUUUGAGGAUAAGCUCAAAAAAAAGUUAAGAAUUAUUUUUAAUUAAAUUUGCUGUAUGGGCCUAAAAUUGGCCACUAUAAAAGUUUUUUAUAAAAUAGUAAUUUUAGCUUUAUAGAUAAAUAUAAUUUUAAACUAACUUUCUACGGGGACAAAAACUUUAAUUUAAAAAAGUUUUAUGCCUAUGCUAGAAUGAGUAUUAAAAACUUAGUUAUAUGAAGAUUUAUUUAUUUUAAUAUCUUCUUAAAAAAUAAUCAAUAAAAUUAAUUAAUUAGAAGGAACUCGGCAAAUUUAGCUGUUUCGCCUGUUUAUCAAAAACAUGGCUCUUUGGCUAUAUAAAUAUAAAGAGUCGGGCCUGCCCAGUGAAAAAUAAAAUUUUAACGGCCGCGGUACUCUGACCGUGCAAAGGUAGCAUAAUCAUUUGCCUUAUAAUUGAAGGCCAGUAUGAAUGGUUUGACGAGAACAGCACUGUCUCCUUUUUAAUUUCAAGAAUUUAACUUUUAGGUGAAGAGGCCUAAAUUUUAUUGAAGGACAAGAAGACCCUGUCGAGCUUAAAAGAUAUUGUAGAACCUUAUAUUUUUAAAAAACAACUUUCUACUAAGCUUUUUAGUUGGGGCGACUAAGGAACAAAAAAAGCUUCUUUUUAAGAACAGACAGUCAUGUUUAGAUCCAAUAAAUUUGAUCAAAGAAAUUAGUUACCGCAGGGAUAACAGCAUAAUCUCUCUUGAGAGGCCUAAUCGAAAGAGGGGGUUGUGACCUCGAUGUUGGACUAGAAUAUCCUAAAGAUGCAGAAGUCUUUAAGG